UUAUAAAUAGUAUAAUAAAAUACUUUUAGUUUCGACCUAAAAAAUGAAAUAAAUCUUUAUUAU
This 63-nucleotide transfer RNA is filed under the name Ptilonyssus chloris. Its description in RNAcentral is "tRNA-Arg". Lineage: Eukaryota; Metazoa; Arthropoda; Arachnida; Mesostigmata; Rhinonyssidae. The record is from RNAcentral.